ACAGAGCGCCUACGGAAGGCAGCAGUGGGGAAUAUUGGGCAAUGGGCGAAAGCCUGACCCAGCAACGCCGCGUGAAGGAAGAAGGCCUUCGGGUUGUAAACUUCUUUUACCAGGGACGAAGGACGUGACGGUACCUGGAGAAAAAGCAACGGCUAACUACGUGCC
Molecule: ribosomal RNA, 165 nt
Filed under: uncultured bacterium
Lineage: Bacteria
Description: partial 16S ribosomal RNA
Rfam family: Bacterial small subunit ribosomal RNA
Source: RNAcentral